RNAcentral lists this ribosomal RNA (305 nucleotides) under uncultured bacterium. RNAcentral describes it as "bacterial SSU rRNA". It matches the Rfam family "Bacterial small subunit ribosomal RNA", at positions 333 to 636 of the family's 1533-position model. The record is from RNAcentral.
AAGGUCCUACGGGGGGCAGCAGUGGGGAAUAUUGCACAAUGGGCGCAAGCCUGAUGCAGCGACGCCACGUGCGGGAUGGAGGCCUUCGGGUUGUAAACCGCUUUUGUUCAAGGGCAAGGCACGGUCUUUGGCCGUGUUGAGUGGAUUGUUCGAAUAAGCACCGGCUAACUACGUGCCAGCAGCCGCGGUAAUACGUAGGGUGCAAGCGUUAUCCGGAUUUAUUGGGCGUAAAGGGCUCGUAGGCGGUUCGCCGCGUCCGGCGUGCAAGUCCAUCGCUUAACGGUGGAUCCGCGCCGGUCACGUGG